ACUCCUACUGGAGGCAGCAGUGGGGAAUAUUGCACAAUGGGGAAACCCUGAUGCAGCCAUGCCGCGUGUGUGAAGAAGGCCUUCGGUUGUAAAGCACUUUCAGUAGGGAGGAAGGUAGUGUAGUUAACACCUGCAUUAUUUGACGUUACCUACAGAAGAAGCACCGGCUAACUCCGUGCCAGCAGCCGCGGUAAUACGGAGGGUGCGAGCGUUAAUCGGAAUUACUGGGCGUAAAGCGCAUGCAGGCGGCCUGUUAAGUCAGAUGUGAAAGCCCGGGGGCUUAACCUCGGAAUUGCAUUUGAAACUGGCAGGCUAGAGUCUUGUAGAGGGGGUAGAAUUUCAGGUGUAGCGGUGAAAUGCGUAGAGAUCUGAAGGAAUACCAGUGGCGAAGGCGGCCCCCUGGACAAAGACUGACGCUCAGAUGCGAAAGCUGGGGAGCAAACAGGAUUAGAUACCCUGGUAGCACAGAG
This 470-nucleotide ribosomal RNA is filed under the name uncultured bacterium. RNAcentral's name for it is "bacterial SSU rRNA". It matches the Rfam family "Bacterial small subunit ribosomal RNA", at positions 335 to 799 of the family's 1533-position model. The record is from RNAcentral.